AUGGGGAACUGUUGCAGAUCUCCCGCAGCUGUAGCUCGAGAAGACGUAAAAUCCAACUACUCCGGCCACGAUCACCCCCGCAAAGCCUCCACCAACGGCAAAAAAUCAGCUCCGAUUCGAGUCCUCACCGACGUCCCCAAGGAGAACAUCGAGGACCGGUACUUGCUCGACCGAGAGCUCGGACGCGGCGAGUUCGGCGUCACCUACCUCUGCAUCGAGAGAGCCACGCGCGACCUCCUCGCCUGCAAGUCGAUCUCGAAGAGGAAGCUCAGGACCGCCGUGGAUAUCGAGGACGUGAAGAGAGAAGUGGCGAUUAUGAGGCAUCUGCCUAAGAGCUCGAGUAUCGUUACUCUCAAGGAGGCUUGUGAGGACGAUAGCGCUGUGCAUUUGGUGAUGGAGCUUUGUGAAGGUGGCGAGCUUUUCGAUCGGAUUGUGGCGAGGGGGCAUUACACGGAGCGCGCUGCCGCGGGGGUUACGAAGACGAUCGUUGAGGUUGUGCAGUUGUGUCACAAGCAUGGGGUGAUUCAUAGAGAUUUGAAGCCCGAGAAUUUUUUGUUUGCUAAUAAGAAGGAGAACUCGCCGCUUAAGGCUAUUGACUUUGGAUUGUCGAUUUUCUUCAAGCCAGGUGAGAAGUUCUCGGAGAUAGUUGGGAGUCCAUAUUACAUGGCACCUGAGGUGCUAAAGCGGAGCUAUGGACCCGAAAUAGAUAUUUGGAGUGCUGGAGUCAUUCUUUAUAUCCUGCUCUGUGGAGUUCCUCCUUUCUGGGCAGAGUCGGAACAGGGAGUUGCUCAGGCUAUUUUACGUGGGAUAAUUGAUUUUAAGAGAGAACCGUGGCCAAACAUUUCGGAGACUGCUAAGAGUCUUGUCAGACAAAUGUUAGAGCCUGAUCCAAAGCGCCGCCUGACUGCAAAGCAAGUGCUUGAGCACCCGUGGAUUCAAAACGCCAAGAAAGCUCCAAAUGUCCCUCUUGGAGAUGUUGUCAAGUCCAGAUUAAAGCAAUUUUCAGUGAUGAACAGAUUCAAGAGAAAAGCUCUGAGGGUUAUUGCCGAAUUCUUAUCUUCCCAAGAAGUAGAAGACAUCAAAGAGAUGUUCAACAAGAUGGAUACUGAUAAAGAUGGUAUUGUUACCAUCGAGGAGUUGAAAGCUGGACUUCGCGAUUUUGGUACACAGCUAGCUGAAUCAGAAGUUCAGAUGCUUAUUGAAGCGGUGGAUACUAAAGGGAAAGGAGCACUAGACUAUGGAGAAUUCGUUGCAGUCUCGCUCCACCUGCAAAAGGUAGCAAAUGAUGAGCAUCUCCGGAAAGCAUUCUCCUACUUUGACAAAGAUGGAAAUGGAUACAUUUUACCCGAGGAGCUUUGUGAGGCCUUAAAGGAAGAUGGAGGGGAUGACUGUGUGGAUGUCGCCAAUGAUAUAUUCCAAGAAGUUGACACGGACAAGGAUGGGAGAAUAAGCUACGAAGAGUUUGCGGCAAUGAUGAAAACAGGAACGGAUUGGAGAAAGGCAUCUCGUCAUUACUCGAGAGGGAGAUUCAAUAGCCUAAGCAUCAAACUAAUGAAGGACGGAUCUUUGAACCUAGGCAACGAAUAGUGAACAAAGAUGGAACUUCUCAUUAAUCUAUUGUUGUGCUAUGUCAUCAUCGCUGCAUGUUUCUUCGUUGACCAGAUUCCUCAGAAACAUCCAGAUGGUAGGGACGUAGGGAUUCAAGCAAGGAUGCCGGAGGAGGAUUUUCCUCUGCUUAAAAUGACAUGAAAAAAAAAGACAGUGUGAUUUGAUUGAUUGGUCAGCCAGAGAGACUGUCAGAGAGAACCCAUAAGCUCGAGUGAAUGAGGGAGGUAGCUUGAUGAAGACUGGUUUCUUUGAUCUUUUAAAGAAGUCUAGUUUCUUUAGCUUUCUUUGUUUGCAUUUCAUGUUUCGUCUUGUAUAUAUUAUGUGUUUUGAUAUGAAUUUCUGAUAAAAGCUAUAAAAGAGAAGCUGGUUCUCUCAUAAAGUUAAGGAAUUCAGUUUUUGUUAGUUGAUGAAUCAUGGUUCUAUUUUCAUAUUUGAUCUCAUUUUUAUUCACUUUACUAGUUCAUGUUCGGGAAACGAUUUGUACAUUCAGCAAAGUUUUGACAAAAUUAUUCGGACUUCAGAUGCAUUGUAGUCAUGUCUUGGUAAACUGUACGUCGUGGAUAGAAAGCUGAAAUAAACUUACAUGAACCGCUAAGAACUGUUUGGCUUUCUUAGG
This is an RNA transcript of Brassica rapa (field mustard), 2224 nucleotides long. It is a transcript of the gene named calcium-dependent protein kinase 13, with no coding region annotated. Lineage: Eukaryota; Viridiplantae; Streptophyta; Magnoliopsida; Brassicales; Brassicaceae. The record is from RefSeq and is a predicted model, not a curated record.